This 372-nucleotide long non-coding RNA is filed under the name Mytilus galloprovincialis (Mediterranean mussel). Lineage: Eukaryota; Metazoa; Mollusca; Bivalvia; Mytilida; Mytilidae. The record is from RNAcentral.
GGCUGCACCAAUGUUAAAAUAUAUUAAACAGGAAAGCAGUUAUUAUUUUUUUAGUUACUGAUACCCCUUUCAUUAAGAAUAAUGAGAUUUGACUUUAUUAAAAGAAAAAUAUGCAUGCAUGUGUAGAAGUUUGAUCUGGCAAUAAUACAGUUUGAAGCAGUUUUUUGAGCUGAGAGGGGUAUGCUGUUCCGAUUUUUUUAGCCUUACAGGAAUGUGAUCCCACCAAAUUUUUUGUUCUUUUUAUUAAAGAAUAUGAUAAUCUGUUAGCUCUAUAUGGUAAAUUUCCAAUAUUUACCAUGGAUGGAAUUCCAGAAGACUUCAAAAAUGGCCGAUUUUGGCAAAAUGAACAAUUGGUGUUUUGGAUGUCCUUAU